Molecule: transfer RNA, 76 nt
Filed under: Pseudomonas aeruginosa
Lineage: Bacteria; Pseudomonadati; Pseudomonadota; Gammaproteobacteria; Pseudomonadales; Pseudomonadaceae
Also listed under: 4 other names
Description: tRNA-Thr
Rfam family: tRNA
About the family: Transfer RNA (tRNA) molecules are approximately 80 nucleotides in length. Their secondary structure includes four short double-helical elements and three loops (D, anti-codon, and T loops). Further hydrogen bonds mediate the characteristic L-shaped molecular structure. tRNAs have two regions of fundamental functional importance: the anti-codon, which is responsible for specific mRNA codon recognition, and the 3' end, to which the tRNAs corresponding amino acid is attached (by aminoacyl-tRNA synthetases). tRNAs cope with the degeneracy of the genetic code in two manners: having more than one tRNA (with a specific anti-codon) for a particular amino acid; and 'wobble' base-pairing, i.e. permitting non-standard base-pairing at the 3rd anti-codon position.
Source: RNAcentral
GCCGCUUUAGCUCAGUUGGUAGAGCAACCGCUUCGUAAGCGGUAGGUCAUCUGUUCGAGUCAGAUAAGCGGCACCA